GGGGGUAUAGCUCCGUGGUAGAGCGUUUGACUGCAAAUCAAGAGGUCUCUGGUUCAAAUCAAGGUGCUCCCU
Molecule: transfer RNA, 72 nt
Filed under: Pangasianodon hypophthalmus (striped catfish)
Lineage: Eukaryota; Metazoa; Chordata; Actinopteri; Siluriformes; Pangasiidae
Rfam family: tRNA
About the family: Transfer RNA (tRNA) molecules are approximately 80 nucleotides in length.
Source: Rfam by way of RNAcentral